Molecule: long non-coding RNA, 1092 nt
Organism: Zea mays
Lineage: Eukaryota; Viridiplantae; Streptophyta; Magnoliopsida; Poales; Poaceae
Exons: 2
Source: RefSeq, a predicted model, not a curated record
AUAGUUGGAGAUAGCCUAAAUGUAGCGGAUGUUCAAUCAUUCACCUAUAAACCAUGAUGACAACCAAUUAGUAGCUAAAAAAUCAUAACCCUUGAAUCAUCCUAUGAUCCAAUGUAACGCGGGGGCUUCCUAAGAAACACCAAUUGGUUGCGCCCCCGUCUGGUUGCCGUGGAUUAUGAGAAUUUGCACAACACACGUAAUCCGAGAAGAUGCAGCCAAAGCUUAAUAAUAGUGAAUAGUCUCUAGCAGCUGCAGCGCAUUAUCCAAUAUACAAAACCAGUGAUGUUUGGUUUAGCACGUGGAUUCAGUCUACUGCAUUCUCAUCGUAGCCGCGGACCAAACGCCACCUUGCUCUACUUAGCCAUGCACUAUUUCUAUCGUCCGGUCGAGUUUGGAUCGCGGGUCAUCUAGCAUAGCUCAUAUUUAAUCUGUGCCUAGUGUCGGAUCGAGUCGGUUUGGUCCAUACUUUUUUGUUGUGUCGGUGUUUAGUCUCGACCAAGCACUACAGGAUUACCCACGUAGUGUUUUUGGAGGACAGCGACGUUGAUCGCAACUCGAUGGUACGUGCAGGUGCACGUCGGAACACAAGAGAAUUAUACAGAUGACCUACCCAAAGCGAAGCAAAUGACAGGCUAUUGACGACGGGCGGAGUCACGGACACUGGACUACAGUCUGGCACUACCUGCGCCCGUGGUUUGUGUUGUGCUCUGCUCCUGCUCCUGCUCGUGGGGCGGUGGAGUGGAGGUGCAGAAGCAGCUGUGCUGGCGGCGGUGAUUCGCAAAUCGCAGCGCCAGGCUACCGUACAGCGGCCACCGACGGGUGACGAGGCUCUGGCCGCUGGUAUUGGACGACACGGCGGCAUGGGCCCCCUCACUGACGCCACCGAAACAGCUAGCCGCGCCAACGGACCACACGACAGCCUCGCGCCGUCUUGUCACAUGUCCUACUAUAUCUUUGUAUCGUGCGUCCAACCCAAAAAAAAACAAGGUAUAGUGCUAUGCAUUUACACUUAAUAUAGUUUGCAAACAUCGCACUAAUUGUAUUUGUAUUGUGAGAGAAAUUCUAUCUAUAACCAAUAGUUCCUUUUAUUUA